This 72-nucleotide transfer RNA is filed under the name Camelus bactrianus (Bactrian camel). It matches the Rfam family "tRNA". From Rfam's summary of the family: Transfer RNA (tRNA) molecules are approximately 80 nucleotides in length. Their secondary structure includes four short double-helical elements and three loops (D, anti-codon, and T loops). The record is from Rfam by way of RNAcentral. Lineage: Eukaryota; Metazoa; Chordata; Mammalia; Artiodactyla; Camelidae. RNAcentral also lists the same sequence under 2 other names.
GAGGGAAUAGCUCAAGUGGUAGAGCACAUGCCUAGCACGUAUGAGGUCCUGGGUUCAAUCCCCGUUCGCUCC